RNAcentral lists this long non-coding RNA (859 nucleotides) under Ananas comosus (pineapple). RNAcentral's name for it is "long non-coding RNA (ACOM_LNC002358)". Lineage: Eukaryota; Viridiplantae; Streptophyta; Magnoliopsida; Poales; Bromeliaceae. The record is from RNAcentral.
AACUUUUGUCCUUGCGAUAUGAUUUAUAUUAUAUCCAAAGACAAUAAAAUAACUUCGUAGAUACUUCACCAUUGUAGACACACCAAUCAUGUACGUAUACUAUCCAUCUAGCUACCAAAUACCGAAUAAGAUGUUUAUUCAUUACCGACCGUCCCUAGAACAAGUGGUAAAAGGUUUGGUGGUUGAUAUCUGAGUUUCCAAGUUCGAAUCCUAGUUGAUUCACAUUUCUAACUAAGUUUAUUUCUAAAUGAAAUAAACGAAGUAGGUAGCGUGCUACCUAUUUCUCAAAAAAAAAAAGAAAAAAAAAAGAAAAACAGAUGUUUAUUCAUCCACAAGCCCUUAGUCGGAGAAUGUCAAUCACUUGUAUGAAUAACAAUAUGGUAAGAAUAUAUAGACAGCCCCUAGACCAUUUGGAAAUAUGACCCCUUUAUUCCUUUUGGCUGAUACCUUCUUGGCUUCUGUUAUUUUUGGAUUUGAUUAUUCUAAUUUAUUAAGUUAAAGAGUUUUAUUUUACAUUCUAAUCUCAUAUCUCUCUCUAAACUUAUCUUUUUUCUUCUAAACUUUAAUUCUUUUUCUCUCUCUAAACUAAGCUCUCUCUCUCCCUCUUUUUCUAAAAUCUCAACUCUCUCAUUCCUUCUAAUCUCGACUCUAUUUCUCUUCUUAUUUUUUUAAUUGUGGUCUCUCUCUCUCUCUAACUUAUGUUCUCUCUCCCUUUUUUCUAAAAAAAUAGUUGAAAUUUUUUGUAGCAUUAUCUAAAAUUAAUUAAUUAAAUUAAUUAAUUAAUUGUAUAUUUUUUGUAAUCUUAAAUAGUAUGACUAAAUAAUAUGGCGAUGCGAACUAAAUACAGAAAUGUCAUAUU